Molecule: non-coding RNA, 1369 nt
Organism: Rattus norvegicus (Norway rat)
Lineage: Eukaryota; Metazoa; Chordata; Mammalia; Rodentia; Muridae
Source: RefSeq, a predicted model, not a curated record
AGGCUCCCACUGAGCUGUGUCUCAGCAAGACAGGUCCUAUCCCUGUCCUCUACUGGGCUGCAGGAAGGACUCAAGGACAGGCCUGGGCUUGUUCAACGCUGGCAGCACUUCUGGGGCUUUGUGGCUGUCCCAUGAUGUCUCGGCCAGAACACAUUCCAGACAGCAAGUUAGCAAAGAACAGCCCAGCUUCUGCGGUCCCUGCUGGCUGACGAGGAGCAGACCUUGUCCCAGGUCUUCCCCAGUUUUCUUCCCUAGAGUCAAUUCUGUCAACCUAGAGGGAUUGUCCUAGCACAGAACGGGGACAGGAGAGGUGAGAUGACUUUAAAGGUUUGGGGUUAGGGGCUGGGAAAGUGGCUCAGUCAGUAAGAUGCUUUCCAUGCCACUGCGGAGACCUGUGUUUGAUCCUCAGAACCCACAGACAAACUGGACACCGAUGUGAGAAAGGACCAGGACAUGAACACCGGGCCUCCUGACCAAGAAAGAGGCAGUGGAUCUAUGAUGACUAGCCCUGCUUGUCAACUUGACUACAUCUGGAAUUAACUAAAACCCAAGCGGCUGAUACAUCAGUGGGAUAAUUCAUCUAUUCAAGAAAAUUACUCCAGCCAGCAGGAGUAGAAAGGAUUCAAUUUUAGCCUCUUGUCUCUGACGUUUAAGAAAUAAUAACUGUAAUUUCAGGAAGACACCCAAAGCAAAGUGAAGAUUUAAAUUUUUAUUACUUUAUUUAUUAUGUGUGCACCUGAAUGUCAGGGGGUGGUGCCCAGGUCACGGUGCCAUGGUACACGCGUGGAGGUCAGAGUGUAGCUUCUCUCCUUCCACCGUGAGGGACCUGGGGAUCCGACUCAGAUGACAGCGUGGCGGCAAGCACCUUUACUAGCUGAGUCAUCUCUUUGGCUCAAGAUAAGAAUUUAAGUGUUUACUUUACGGGUCGAGUAAUGGGUUAGAGAAAAGUUUAAUAUCUCAACUAUUUUAAACCUUUAAGCUUCUGUGUACCCAGCCAGUCAUUUCUUGAUCUUUGUUAAUGAAGCUUUAGGCUCAGGCAGUUUAUUGGGAAAUAAAAUUUAAAACAAACUUUCAGUUCUUUUAAGUUCGGUUCAACUUGCACUGAAACAAGACUUCUGCUGGGUGUGGUGAUAUAAGCCUGUAAUCUCACUUGUAAGCAGUUGGAAGACUGAGGCAGGAGGACUGUCAUGAGUUCAAGGCCAGUGUGGGUUAAGACUCAGUACCAAGAAGCAACAAGAAAGUCCCACAAAAUGCUGUGUCCACACAUUAAAAUGAAAGCAAGCAUUAAUGAAACGAGUGUCCCACCGAUGGCCUUUUGGGAAUAUGGGGGGGUCUUUGAGAGUGGAAGACCCCAAACGGGGUGAAAUCA